This 8029-nucleotide long non-coding RNA is filed under the name Zea mays. Its description in RNAcentral is "long non-coding RNA (ZMAY_LNC000793)". The record is from RNAcentral. Lineage: Eukaryota; Viridiplantae; Streptophyta; Magnoliopsida; Poales; Poaceae.
CCACCUACAAACACCAUGCAUAUCUCUAAUUAGUUUCAUAAUACAAGACAUACAUACUCAUGAAAAUAAUUUCAUUCACACAACACAAAUCAAUUUAAUAGCACAAGCCUUAUAUAUCCACACAACUAAUCAUUCAUCCGACUAACGAAAACAAUGGAUCGACUUACCAUGACUAAACUCGACUCGACUCCGCGAGAUCGACAACCAUAUCCGGUUGAGGCGAUUCACCAAGCACUUGGCAAGCGCCUCGCUAAAGCUUUCUUCUCAUCUAAAUUUCCUAGGAUUUACCUCCACCACAAACACAAACAUAUACAGUAAAUAAUCAAAUAUAGGAAUUGGUGGGGAAUAAACAGAACACAAGCAGUUGGUCUCACCUGGGCUACAGAGAUCUGGCAUGUUGCUGCUGCGCCUAGUAUUAAUCAGGGAAAGGAGAGGAGCGACCAUGGAGAAGACUGGAGCAAGGAGGGAGCUCGGCGUGGUCCGAUGGAGGUGGAAGACAGCCAGUGCGCGCCACAACAGAGAAGAUCGACGAGUAGAGAGGGCGAAAUCCAGGGAGGGGCGGCAGCCAGAGGAUGAAGGCGAGGGGAGAUAGGAAACGGGUGGCUCGACAGCGUCCAUGGCUGGGGCAGGGCGAGCUGGGGUUGGGCGACCAUGGGACUUGUGCUUGGGGAAGGAGAUGGGAGAGGGGCUAUCCAUGGCAACAAGAGAGGGGGCUGGCGUCCACACCAUGUGAAGGAGCAGGGAGGGCGCCAUGGGAGAGACGCCGAGGGAGCAGGGAUGACCGGCGAGGCUCUGUAGGAUCGCCGCCUAGGGAGGAGGCGACGUGAAGGAGCUGGCUUCCUAUGCGCAGGGGAUGAGGGAGAGAGCACGGGUGAAGAAACUAGAAGCCUCUGUCUUGCAUACACGGAUAAGAAGGAACGAUAGUGGCCAAGUGAGAAAAAAAUGUGAAUUCUCCUCUCUUAAAAACAGAAACGUAAUUGUUUUCUUAUUAGGAUUUGGAUAAGAGGAUGAGAUCGGCACCAUGAAUAGUGGCUUCGCGAAGGGGUAAGUCAGAGGGUUUAGGCGGUGGAAGGGAGAAAAGAAAUUCAGAUUUUUUGCUCUUUUCUCCAAUUCUUGUUACAAAAGACUAAACAGAUAAUUUAGUUCUCAGAUUAAGUUUGCGCGUGAUGUAAACCAGACGAAACAAAAGAUACCCGUCAAACUAGUACAGACUGCGCUUGAUCAAAUUUUAGAGCAGAUAAUUUUAUCCGUAGUCUGAGCAGGGAAACAGAUUAAUUAUGAAUACUCAGUUCGGUUCUAGUUAUCUCGGUCCGAUUUAAUUUUUGCAUCAAUAUUGUUGUCGUCGAGUUCUAAUAAUAUUUGUUUAGGACGACAAUCACCAGAGUAGGUCGGGGCUCCAAAUUCAUGUUCCCUUAAUCCAUAAUUUUAAAUAGACCUCAGACUUGAUAUUUCGCGAAAUAAAUACGCGAGAUCGAUACAACAUCGAAAUUUGUGAUCCAUUCGGAAGUGACGCCACGCAACGUUCGCGUGGGCGAGAGGUUGUGCUCUGUCCGGAUACCGGUUAGCACCUGCCACGCGCUACGAUGGCAGGCCACAGAGAGACACGUGCAACGCAAGCGUGAAAGAAUUUUAAACGAAGUUUAAAGAACCAGAUUUGAUUUCAAAGAUUGUAGUUUGGGCAAGACGUCGAGGGCUCAGCCCAAACGAUAUUGGAUUCGAUGUUCCGAAGAUUACCAAAGGCUGAAUUUUAAAAGAAAUAGAUUUGGAAAAAUUUAGACAGAUGGAGGCAGACACGAUAUCAAAAUCGUGAUAAACGAGGUUGAUUAAAAAUUAGUGACCUUUACAUUCAUAGCUAUCACGUGUUAACGUCCGCACUAAUGGUCGAGCAGACGAUAAACACCUGGGGUGUUACAGCCCUCCCCCCUUAAAAGAAUCUCGUCCCGAGAUUCGGAGCGAAAGACUUUUAAGAGUAGAGCAGCAUGUAACCCUUGUCCAUAUCAGCGAUAACAAAGGCAGUUCCAAGCAAAGGCGAGUGUCUUAGAAUGUGGUUUCUCUAGCGGACAUAGCAUGUAUCGCCUUAGGCUAAUUUAGAAUGUCCACCAAUAGAGACAAUGUCUACCAGAAGAACACAUAAGGUUCUGUGUGUGCAGUUUGCUUUUUCUGAUGACACUGUACUAUCUGAGUCUGUUGGGCGAGUGGCAAUUACACGAUUUUACCCAAAUAGAAUCAGAUGCAACCUCUUGGGUAAAUCACACAGAAAGAGGUUUACCAACAAGGGGUCACGGUAAGCCCGUAGCACAUGAGACGGGUGUGGAUGUCGAAUACUGUCGCGGUUAACAUGUGGCUAACCCGAGAAUUCAAGUCCACAAACGAUAGUAGAGACUUGAGAAAAUAUCAAUGAAAAGAUCCAUUGAUGCUGACUUCGCAACCAACCCAUUUCAUCAAAUACUUAGCACGGCUCGACAUGAUCACACAUGUUAGAAAAUCACAUGUGAUACGAUCGAGGCAUGACUAGAACGAUAAUUAGGUGAUUAUUAGUCGAUUUUAACCUGAUCUUUGUAAGAACUUUCUUAGGAUGGGUUGAACCAAAGUGAGUUUAGAUAACUCGACAAAACGAUCUCUAAACUCAACCUUUGUUCACAAUACAGUUACAAAUUAGUAAAACCAACUUGUUGAACUACCUUUGACAUUGAGCAAGUCCUCUUAUUACCCAUCGGCAAGUCAAGGGUUGAGGGUUCACAUUUGCUAGCAGGAGGUCAAAUACUUGAAUAGAGAUCCAUUCCACCAUGUUGUUCAUUUAUCUCCUUUAUGACAAACCAACAGGGUUGAAAAUGCAUGGGUCAACAAAGGAGCGAAUGAACAAACUCCUGCAUCUUAGCAACAUAGGAAAGAAAUCUCGAUUUGAGAACUAAUCAGGUGUCUCUCAACACUAAAAAGCUCCAAGACUUCACCUUUACAACAAAGGAUGCAAAGGGAACUUGUAGGUGUACAAUCACCACCAAAGCCAACAGAAAAGAUACCAUACAUGAAUGGGGUGAUUUUACCACACAACUAGAUACAGAUAGGUUUCGAUUUUCGAUGAAGACUUCUGAACUGGUAAGAACUUCACCUAAGGAAUACAUCAGAGUUAUAUACUCUUUUGAUCUAAAAGUGAUGGCAUAUGUUGUUUGAUUGUUUCAGCAAACAACACAAAAAUCGUUUCAAGGGAGGAGUCCACGGAAGAUCACACAUCAGUGUAGUUCCACAAUGGAUCAUGACCAAAGACCUCGAUACCAGAAUGCGCCAAGCAGCAUAACCUUGCGUGUACAUUCACAAGGGGAUCUCAGUUUCGCGGCGGCACCAAAAAUCAUUAAUCGUGACACCAUUACCGAACAUCACCAAUAAAGAAUCUCACAUAGCGUAAAAAGAUUGUGCCAAGAUAACACAUUGAUAUAGUCUCAUAAUGGAUUACAACUACUAACCAUGAUACCAGCGCGUGCCGAGCAGCACAACCAUGUGUGUACAUUCACAGGAGGCCCUCGGUUUCGUCGCAGCACCAUCGGUUUUAGUCAUAACACCAUUACCAGCUGUAACCAAUAAGAAAUCUCAUGCAGUACAAAUGGAUUGAGCAAGGGUGACAAUAUACAAUGAGACUCCACCUGUAAGAAUAAUUACAAGUAGAGCCAAAUAGAUCAUGGCCCGAUGAAAUGAACAAGACAUGGCCAUAACCUAAACUUGAUGAAAGGAGUACGACGGGAGACUGUUAUUUCAGCCCCAAGCAUAUUUCUAUGCCCAUCGCAGAGAUUACAAGGUUAAGGAUUAGUAUCUGAUUAGAUACGGAGGGAAAACAAUCAUAAGAUUAAGUUGGUAUGCCUUUGAAAGAUAUGAGAAAACCAAAGGCAUUAAAUUCAAGAAAACUAUUGGGCAUUCCUUUCCUAGGUUAGAUUGAAAAAGCAACAAUGUGAUUCUCAUGGAGAGGCAAAGCAGAAUAGAACCAUCAGCUUGCACCAACCGAAACAAGGCGAAGCUUAGGAAGAAAACAUGACCACUGUGAGUCAUGGAUUAAGCGACAAGAACACGGACUUGAGAUCUUUGUCUUAAGAUUGAGUGCACCUUUUGUCCAACAGGGAGACUACUGGCCAAAUUAAAGAAACCUACAAUCUAUACAGGUACAUACCUCUAAUCGUCCAACACACGAAGACGAGAAAUUCCAUACACCCGCACAUGACUUUUAAUUUGAACUUAGUGUCUUUCCAUAAGAAAAAAGAAAACAAACAACAACUCAUGUAGUUUAAUGGCCAAAGGAUUAGACAAUCACCAUACCUUCUACUCAACCAAGCGAGAGAAACACAUAUACUACCUAACGAGGUGUCUAAAGGAUAGAGGACAAGGAACUCGUUGAAGUUCAUAGGAUAGCGAUACUUCACAUAGUUUCCAAUUAUUUAUUAUCGGAAUAAAGAUGAGAAAAGCAUGUUCGUUCACAAUCACUAAUUAUUAGAAUAAAGAUGAGAGAAGCAUAUUUGUGCACAAACGACAAACACAAUGCAAAAAUCAGGAUGCAUGCUCGUCCUAUUCGUCCACACUGAUUUUGCCAACAUAAUGUGGCAAUAGCGUUCUAUAUCGGUGGCAUACCUACGUUCUCUCUCGAUAUAUUGCUAGUCGUCAGCUACACAUACGAGUUCGAAGUUAGUGUACCUGCAGAAAAUUUCAUCACAGCCCAGUUCCCAAUGAUGCAAUUCACACAUGACAGUUUAUCACAGUUUAUACUCCAUAUAUUUCUAUAUGGAGGCCAGCUCCUCAUUAAGCGCCGAGCCACGCAUAGGCGUCGCUGCCACACUUUAACCAUAGGGCAGCUCAUUAUGGUAACUCACCUUCUUACCUGAGCGUAGGUGCGUCGUUGCAAAUACAUUACACUUCUCAGUAUUCCCAUGUCUGUAUACCCAUAGACAUCCAUGGGGUACUGAAUCCCGGAAAAGUAAUUACUCCACAUCGCAGCCUUCAUAUAUACAUAUGUGUAACAUGUAUAUAAUCAAGCGCCACAAUUAAGCACUCCCCUAGACCGGCAUUUGUUCGGUCAUGCUCUCACAACUCACGUUACCUGAGCGUCGAUCCAUUCAAAACUGAAUGGCCUCAAGAAUAACAAUACACAUGUAUGCAAUACCCUUCCCUGGUUGUGGGUUAGUAUUCUCAACUAAGCCACCUAGUAGUCCUUAACUUAGGGCUUAACAGAGGAUGUCGCUAGCAUUAUAGUUUUUUUAAAUCUGUUUUUCAAAAUCAAACAAUGUGUUUAGUUGAAAAUAGGUUUUUGAAACCAAAACUUUGUUUUAAAAAUACGUAUGUGACCGUAUUAUACUUAAUACAGCUCCGAUACCAGCUGUCGCAGAACCUCCCAAGUUAUCGGGCCCACAUGCACUUGUCCUUGUCUCAACGACCUCAGACGGGUAUGCAUGUGCACCAAACAACUUAACAGGAUCUGUCCGAGUGCCCCAAGGACCCCGGAUAAACGACUUACCGCCAAGAUCGCAGGAUUAAGUAAACACAAAUCACACACCAACAUUUGCAGCGGAAAUAAAUUCUUUAUUGCAAAAUGAUUACAUGUUACAAUAAGUUUACAUUAUACAAUUAUCGGAGUGAUUACAAAAGAAAGUGAUUCAAAAGAAUUACAAUUUAAAAUGUAUAAAAUAUUUAUAGGUUUUAAAAUACAUGCUAGCUUAAGUGACAAUCCUCAAUAAAGAAGCUAAAGAUGGGAUAUACUUAUAUAAGAAGGCCGAACCCACCGGCACUUAGCACCAUCCACAACAGAACAAAAUUACAACCUGAAAAACAACAGGGAAUAAAACCCUGAGUACGCAAUUACUCAGGAAGACUUACCCGACUAAAGAAAAGACUCUCAAGGAUAUGCUGGUUUAUCGGGAAUCAAGGUAAAGCUUAUCAAAUUUCAAAGACUCAUUUUCGCAGAAAAGCUUACUAGUAGUGGAUCCUUAUGCAAAAAUUUUACUUCACAAAUUAAGUACUUUUCCUGAAUCUAGAUUUGCCUAAUCUAGAGCAUUCACUUGUCCUACACUAGCUUCAUUUUAGCAGCUUUAGUUUCACUUGUUAUCUACGAUGAGGGUCGAAGAUCCAGUCUUCAUAUCCGAGAAGUUCGGCGAUCCGAAUCGAUUAAUACCCAGCUGGGGAUCUCCAACCACACGACAUAUGUAGCACUUAACCCUUGCAUAUGUCAACUCGCCACCGGGUUUCUCAAGACCAGAACGGGUCCCCGCCAACCGAGAGCUCAGUACCCCACCAUCCAGCCUCUUGCCAGGUGGAUACACGAUACUCUCGCCAUCUCUCCACUCCCAUUGCGGGCCGGCCUUUCUGGUAUUGGUCCAGCCGAGGCUAAGCUUACCCAUGAUGAGGCAUGUGGCCAGUUAAAGGGUCCUAGAUCAGCAGGCCAACAAUCGGAACGGUCCUUAAUCGACGCAGACGGGCGACCUUUCCUGCUCAACGUCUGGUCUCAUAUUAAAAUAAUUCUGAAAACCUGGUACCUGUCAGAGGUACCCUACUGAAAUGAUGAAGUCAUCAAGGCCUUUGAUACCUUCAUCAUUCCAGCCCCUUUUUCCUUGUAAAAACAUGAUUCAUACAUCAAAAUAUUUUGUUCCUUGUCUAUAAGCAGGCUAAGCAUAUCUAGCUUUUCAAAUCAGGUAUCAAGGAUGAUAAUCAAUAAUUCAAGGAAGUUAUGCAGCAAAGGUUUAACCAUUCAACUCCUAAACUACUGAACCUAUGGUCAUGAAAUUUUUACACAAGCAAGGUAAAAAGAUUAUCUACAAGUUUUAUAUAUAAUACUUCUACAGAAAACACGGUUUACUUUACUUAACUAGCCACGUAAUAAAAUUGGACAUGCAGUCCAAACAGCAAGAACUCUAACUUAGAUCUUAUUUAACUUCUACACUUAUCAUGCUUUUAACAUUUAGAACACUCAACACUUUAUCUUUAGUAGAACUAAAACCACAUAAUACAACAAGGCAUUCAUGUCACCAUACAUUAGAAAUUCACUCAACCACUAAUAAAUCUUAUCGGCAAAGCGCUAUAAGUACUAAACGUUGUUUUUACAUUAUUAACUUGAUCACUCAAUUCAUAUACAAUAACCAAAUCAUCUAUACUUGAGAAAUAUCUUUACCAAAAUACUCUAGGCAUAAUCCACCUACAAACACCAUGCAUAUCUCUAAUUAGUUUCAUAAUACAAGACAUACAUACUCAUGAAAAUAAUUUCAUUCACACAACACAAAUCAAUUUAAUAGCACAAGCCUUAUAUAUCCACACAACUAAUCAUUCAUCCGACUAACGAAAACAAUGGAUCGACUUACCAUGACUAAACUCGACUCGACUCCGCGAGAUCGACAACCAUAUCCGGUUGAGGCGAUUCACCAAGCACUUGGCAAGCGCCUCGCUAAAGCUUUCUUCUCAUCUAAAUUUCCUAGGAUUUACCUCCACCACAAACACAAACAUAUACAGUAAAUAAUCAAAUAUAGGAAUUGGUGGGGAAUAAACAGAACACAAGCAGUUGGUCUCACCUGGGCUACAGAGAUCUGGCAUGUUGCUGCUGCGCCUAGUAUUAAUCAGGGAAAGGAGAGGAGCGACCAUGGAGAAGACUGGAGCAAGGAGGGAGCUCGGCGUGGUCCGAUGGAGGUGGAAGACAGCCAGUGCGCGCCACAACAGAGAAGAUCGACGAGUAGAGAGGGCGAAAUCCAGGGAGGGGCGGCAGCCAGAGGAUGAAGGCGAGGGGAGAUAGGAAACGGGCGGCUCGACAGCGUCCAUGGCUGGGGCAGGGCGAGCUAGGGUUGGGCGACCAUGGGACUUGUGCUUGGGGAAGGAGAUGGGAGAGGGGCUAUCCAUGGCAACAAGAGAGGGGGCUGGCGUCCACACCAUGUGAAGGAGCAGGGAGGGCGCCAUGGGAGAGACGCCGAGGGAGCAGGGAUGACCGGCGAGGCUCUGUAGGAUCGCCGCCUAGGGAGGAGGCGACGUGAAGGAGCUGGCUUCCUAUGCGCAGGGGAUGAGGGAGAGAGCACGG